AGGGUUGUAGUUCAAAGGUAGAGCACUUGCCUCGCAUGCGUGAGGCCCUGGGUUCAAUCCUCAGCACCACAU
RNAcentral lists this transfer RNA (72 nucleotides) under Marmota marmota marmota (Alpine marmot). It matches the Rfam family "tRNA". Rfam says of the family: Transfer RNA (tRNA) molecules are approximately 80 nucleotides in length. Their secondary structure includes four short double-helical elements and three loops (D, anti-codon, and T loops). Lineage: Eukaryota; Metazoa; Chordata; Mammalia; Rodentia; Sciuridae. The record is from Rfam by way of RNAcentral. RNAcentral also lists the same sequence under 2 other names.